Molecule: long non-coding RNA, 2839 nt
Organism: Numida meleagris (helmeted guineafowl)
Lineage: Eukaryota; Metazoa; Chordata; Aves; Galliformes; Numididae
Exons: 3
Source: RefSeq, a predicted model, not a curated record
CUGCUGCUUGUUUUUGUUGCUUGUGAGUAGCUGGAUGGGCAGGGUGGGAUUGAAAGGGUGCUUGAGGCAAGCUGAAGUGGCCAGUAAGCGAGGGGAUCAGGAGCUCUUAAAGGGGAAAUAUAGUACUUCACCACCCAGCCCUCCUGAUGCUGAUGUUUGGAAGGCCUCUGCUGGUGAUGAUUCUGGUUGCUCCUGAAGGACCUACUGCUGAUUGACAGGAAGCUGCCACAACGCAUUGUGCCACAUCAGGAGGAGCAGAGGACAGCCUGGGACUCUCAUUCCUUCUUGUCUCUGGGGAUGAAGAGGUGACGAAACUGAAGGGAUGCACCACAAGCACCAGAGUCUGGGGAGAUGGAGGAAGAUCAGUGUUUGAGAUGCUGCGGAAUAGGUCAUCAAGGAUGCACAUCUGGACAUAAAGGCAUAUAUGUAUAAGAGUGAUUGCUUUGCCAUGCUCUCCUUGAGGACCUGGCUGAGCACUCAAAGAGGAGGUACACGCUGUCACCUCUGGUGGAGGCAGGUUGGCUCAUACCCUGUCUGUUGUGGUGCUCUGAGUAUCUCCAUGUGGUGUGCCAUCACCAACACUUCUGCCUUGUGGGGCUGGUGCCCCUGGAUCUCGUGGCUUUCGUUGCCUUUUAUUCUCCUCCUCUCAUCUUGUACUCGGACACUGUUAGAGGAAAAUCUAAUGGGAGCAUCAGAUGCUGUUCAAUGAUAUACACUUUGCAUCCUCUUAAACAGUAAAGUGAAGGUGUUGGUACUGCAGCUUGGUGGCUCUGUCAAAAGGGAAAACAGUGAGUUGAAACCAUCUUCUAUGUGUCCCCUGCGGGCACAGGGAUGCUGAGAGUUUUGUGCUGCAGAUCUAUGCAUCUGCCACAGUCAAGCCAGGGGCUCCUCUAGAAGCAAGGUGGAAGAAAGAGCAAUAACUGCAGAGCUGGUUUGGGUGCAUGUGGAAACCCCAAGGAGAGGGGUUUAAUGUUAAUUUAUAUUCUCCGCAGCUCUCCCUGAGGCAAGAGCUGGGGCCCUGGGCCCCCUGGGGAGUUGGCUGGGUGCAGCCUGAUGCUGGCCCCAUCCCUGCGUGUGCAGCCACUUUGGGAAACGCGUCCUUUCCUGACUAUUCUCACCAGCUCUCAGCAGUUUCUGUGCGUGCCCACCAGAGAGCAACCCUGGCACAGGGUUGGUGUCUCCAGAGACAGAGAUGGGAACAGUAGGGCUGGGGACGAGGCCAAACCCGGCUUCCUUCUCCUUUUCCAGCCCUAUCACCUUGCCCAAACCUGAGCUGGAGAGAGGGUGUAAUCCUGCUGUGUGCCCAUGUCCUGUGUGAGAGGAGCGUCCUGCUGGGCACAAGGACAUGGCACCAUGUGAGAAGAGCCUGGCUGUCCUGAAGCUGUUGUGGGGAAGGACCGUGCUGGGACAGCAGGGAGAGUCUGUCCCAUGCAUAAAGUGCAAGUUCAGGCAGCCGAAACCUCCAAAAUUCAGAUGGGUAAUAGUCCAGUGCUUUAUGGCAGUCUCCUGAGUAAGUGCAGAGAUGAAUUUUGUUUUUUAUAUUUUUGUCAUUUUUUUGACAAUUGUCUCAAGGAAUGUCUCUGGUACUUGAAUGUGGAGUUUAGUGCUAUGGCGUAGUCUGGUAUAUGAGGUAGAAUCUAGUGCUUGCUGUUCGGAGAAGGAAGAAAUCUGUGCUUGUCAUGCACCUGCAGGCUUUACAAGCAUCUGUGCUCAAUGCUGGCCUGAGGUCUCGGGUAGGCAGGAAGGUUUAGGUUUAGAGGUGGGACUCAGCCAUGUGACAUGAACUAUCUCACCGCAGCUCUCCCUCUGUGGGGAGGAGAUGGGCAGGGCUUGUUCUCCCCAUGGAUGUGCAGAGCAGGUGGUAGUCACCUCUGUCUCUGCUCCGUGCUGAAUCUGUGUUCCCGUGGGCAGCAGCAGGUGGGAUGGCUGUGACCCCUCUGAACUGCAGCCCCAGGGCAUGCACAAAGGGCUUUGAGGGAAAGCUGAGGGAAGAAACAACUCUGCUAUUUUUAUCCUUGCACCAGCCCGGGGAUUUGGAUUGACAGGGUUAGUUAUGAAGCCAAUAUUAUGAGUUUAACUAUGAGUGAAAUAACACAACUUCUGUGGGAAGCAGAGUAAAAGAGGCAAUUAUGCAGUAGCUUAAUAACAGCACUCUGGCUGGGUAGCUGAAAAUUUACAGUUGACAGUAAUUAGAUUUUUUUUUUCAAUCUUCCUGUUAAAUAGCUACAAAAAUUACAAUAUAAAUGCAUCUGAUUCACUCUUACAUGCUGUUUUCAUCAUCGGGUCCGUGCCCAUUUGGCCUUCAGACUAUUUUUGUUUUGUAAUUUUCUACUGUCUGGUAUUUUAGAAGCGUGGAACUUAAUGUUCGUAAUGUUGAACACACAAAGCAAGAUGAAAAAGGCAGGUGGGGGAGCGGGCAGGAACCCCAUCAGAAAUGCAGGGGAUGUCUGGAUGGACAGCAAGGACUUUCCAGGUGGGCUCCCCCAGACUCACUGUCCUCUUUCCAAGCGCUCGCCUCUUCUUUUUCAUGUAUAGACAGCAUUAAGUUUUCUCUUAUGCCGCAAAACCUCGCAUUACCUUAGCAACUGUGUGCUUUCCAGCUUGCAGGGUAGAACUUGAUGAGCCAGCAAGUGCGUGGCACUUGGGCUGCUUCUGAUCAUAGCUUGAAAGCCCUGCGCAGCAUGAAGGAAAGAGCUCUCAGGUUUGCUCUUGUUGCUGAAGGCUCAGGAUGGGAUAUUUGCUUGAAGGCUGAGAGUAUUCUUCCUCUUGCUCUCCUGUUUUGUACUGUAAAAGAGCCAGGCAUAAUAAAUGAUACCAUGGUCCUGUUGUUGUGAUGUGA